GCAUUCGAAACUGGCAGGCUAGAGUCUUGUAGAGGGGGGUAGAAUUCCAGGUGUAGCGGUGAAAUGCGUAGAGAUCUGGAGGAAUACCGGUGGCGAAGGCGGCCCCCUGGACAAAGACUGACGCUCAGGUGCGAAAGCGUGGGGAGCAAACAGGAUUAGAUACCCUGGUAGUCCACGCCGUAAACGAUGUCGACUUGGAGGUUGUGCCCUUGAGGCGUGGCUUCCGGAGCUAACGCGUUAAAGUCGACCGCCUGGGGAGUACGGCCGCAAAGGUUAAAACUCAAAAUGAAUUGACGGGGGCCCGCACAAAGCGGUGGAGCAUGUGGUUUAAUUCGAUGCAACGCGAAGAACCUUACCUACUCUUGACAUCCAGAGAACUUUCCAGAGNUGGAUUGGUGCCUUCGGGAACUCUGAGNCAGGUGCUGCNUGGCUGUCGUCAGCUCGUGUUGUGAANUGUUGGGUUNNGUCCCGCAACGAGCGCAACCCUUAUCCUUUGUUGCCAGCGGUUAGGCCGGGAACUCAAAGGAGACUGCCGAGUGAUAAACUGGAGGAGGGUGGGGGUGACGUCNNGUCNUCAUGGCCCUUACGAGUNGGGCUACACACGUGCUNCNGUGGCGCGUACGGGANNGCGACCUCGCGGGNGCGGCGGACCUCAGGGGUGCGUCGUNUCCGGNUUGGAUCUNNACUCGACUCCNUGGAUCGGAGUCGCUAGUGUCGUAGUCGAGGUGCNACGGNNGUNCGUUCCCGGGNCNUGNCNCACCGCCCGUCCACCNNNGAGNNNUUGCGGGA
Molecule: ribosomal RNA, 789 nt
Filed under: Enterobacter sp.
Lineage: Bacteria; Pseudomonadati; Pseudomonadota; Gammaproteobacteria; Enterobacterales; Enterobacteriaceae
Description: partial 16S ribosomal RNA
Rfam family: Bacterial small subunit ribosomal RNA
Source: RNAcentral